AGUGAACGCUGGCGGUAGGCCUAACACAUGCAAGUCGAACGGCAGCACAGUAAGAGCUUGCUCUUACGGGUGGCGAGUGGCGGACGGGUGAGGAAUACAUCGGAAUCUACUUUUUCGUGGGGGAUAACGUAGGGAAACUUACGCUAAUACCGCAUACGACCUACGGGUGAAAGCAGGGGAUCUUCGGACCUUGCGCGAUUGAAUGAGCCGAUGUCGGAUUAGCUAGUUGGCGGGUUAAAGGCCCACCAAGGCGACGAUCCGUAGCUGGUCUGAGAGGAUGGUCAGCCACCCUGGAACUGAGACACGGUCCAGACUCCUACGGGAGGCAGCAGUGGGGAAUAUUGGACAAUGGGGGCAAGCCUGAUCCAGCCAUACCGCGUGGGUGAAGAAGGCCUUCGGGUUGUAAAGCCCUUUUGUUGGGAAAGAAAAGCAGCAGGUUAAUACCCCGCUGUUCUGACGGUACCCAAAGAAUAAGCACCGGCUAACUUCGUG
RNAcentral lists this ribosomal RNA (492 nucleotides) under uncultured bacterium. RNAcentral's name for it is "partial 16S ribosomal RNA". It matches the Rfam family "Bacterial small subunit ribosomal RNA", at positions 29 to 507 of the family's 1533-position model. The record is from RNAcentral.